UACAGAGGUCCCAAGCGUUGUUCGGAUUCACUGGGCGUAAAGGGUGCGUAGGCGGCAAGGUAAGUCUGACGUGAAAUCUCCGAGCCUAACUCGGAAACUGCGUUGGAUACUAUCUUGCUCGAGGAAUGGAGGGGAGACUGGAAUACUUGGUGUAGCAGUGAAAUGCGUAGAUAUUGUCAAGAACACCAAUUGCGAAGGCAGCUUACUAAGUUAUAACUGACGCUGAGGCACGAAAGUGCGGGGAUCAAACAGG
This 253-nucleotide ribosomal RNA is filed under the name uncultured prokaryote. Its description in RNAcentral is "partial 16S ribosomal RNA". It matches the Rfam family "Bacterial small subunit ribosomal RNA", at positions 524 to 776 of the family's 1533-position model. The record is from RNAcentral.